AUGUUUUACUCAAAUAUGGCUUCCUGUCUUUGCUUUGAUUGGUGGCGUUCAGUUGCGCACCGUGUCUUAAUGGGAUCAAAAAGGUCUGCCCAGGAUUUUAUUGGGUCCAGAUAUCUCAUUUUAGUCAUACAGACGGUGGUCAAUUUGGUAAUCUUGUUUGAUCAUGAGGUAUUUAAUUUAGGCCCCCGUCCUACACUUUCAAACAACUUUUAUUUAGAGAAAAUAAACAACGUUAGCAACAUAUAUUUUGAAAGAAAGAGCACUGCUAUGCGGACGACAAUCGCCAGCCGAAAUUUGCACGACAAGCUAUAUCACACCAUCCAUGGACAUGUUUAA
This 336-nucleotide ribosomal RNA is filed under the name Triticum aestivum (bread wheat). RNAcentral's name for it is "partial small subunit ribosomal RNA". Lineage: Eukaryota; Viridiplantae; Streptophyta; Magnoliopsida; Poales; Poaceae. The record is from RNAcentral.